RNAcentral lists this ribosomal RNA (253 nucleotides) under uncultured bacterium. Its description in RNAcentral is "partial 16S ribosomal RNA". It matches the Rfam family "Bacterial small subunit ribosomal RNA", at positions 524 to 776 of the family's 1533-position model. The record is from RNAcentral.
UACGUAGGGUGCAAGCGUUAUCCGGAAUUAUUGGGCGUAAAGAGCUCGUAGGCGGUUUGUCGCGUCUGCUGUGAAAACCGGAGGCUCAACCUCCGGCCUGCAGUGGGUACGGGCAGACUAGAGUGCGGUAGGGGAGAUUGGAAUUCCUGGUGUAGCGGUGGAAUGCGCAGAUAUCAGGAGGAACACCGGUGGCGAAGGCGGCAUCCUGGACCAACACUGACGCUGAGGAGCGAAAGCCAGGGGAGCAAACGGG